UAUGACGGUCUCCUACUGACGUGUCGCACUCGACGAUUAUUGAGGGGAAAAACACAGGUCUUGUUUUUCCUGCUACUUCUGUAACCCGACAGGUAUUACCCACGGACUGAACCAUGUCAGAGCCCAGCAAGCAAGAGAUUUCAACCAUCUUUAAGCGACUUCGCUCCAUUCCUUCGAACAAGGUUUGCUUUGACUGCUCGGCGAAAAACCCGAGUUGGGCCAGCAUCACCUAUGGGGUGUUCCUCUGUAUAGAUUGCUCUGGGACUCACAGGUCUCUUGGGGUGCACCUGUCCUUCAUCAGGUCCACGGAGCUGGAUUUUAAUUGGUCCUGGUUUCAGCUGAGGUGUAUGCAAGUGGGAGGCAAUGCCAGUGCGAUUUCAUUUUUCAACCAACACGGUUGCACAACAAGCGCCGCAAAUUCCAAAUACAACAGCCGAGCCGCUCAGCUGUACAGAGACAAGAUAAAGACUUUAGGCACACAGGCCACCAGAAGUCAUGGCACCGAGCUGUGGCUCGACAGUCAGGCUCCUCUCUCCCCAACAUCACCAGAGGACAAGCAGGUGGAUUUCUUCAGUCUGCUUUCACAGUCUGAACCUGAAAACUUGAACAUUGGCAAAAUGAGUCUAAGCUCGACCUUAUCAGAGAGGCCUUCAACUCCGGUUAAAGAGGAGAAUGGAAAUGGCAAUCCAGAGGAGGGUCCAAGCGUGGAUAUGCUUAGUAUGUCUCCAAAAGCAAAUCUAGAUAUCCCGUCUCUUCUUAAGAAGAAGCCGGCCGCUGCCAAGAAAACCUUGGCCUCUAAGAAAGGCGGUCUUGGCGCUCAGAAGGUGAGCAGCAAGAGUUUCUCCGAGCUGGAGAAGAAAGCUCAAGCUGCCGACAAGCUCAGAGAGAAAGAGGGGGGCCCGGCGUCCACCAAGAAAAACACCCAACUUGAGGAAUCCAUCACUCCAUCUAUGCGACUGGCCUAUAAGGAUUUUGAGCAGCAGAGGAAAGUGGAGGAGAAGAAGUUUAAAGGAUUUGAGGGGAAUAAGAAGGAACAAGCUGAGAGACUGGGCAUGGGACUGGGCAGCAGAGGCGAGAUGUCUCACUCGGUGACGUCGGACAUGCACAUGAUCCAGCAGGAGACUCCUGUGGGGGCCAAAAGCAAGAAAGGGCGACGGUUCAAUGACGACGACGAUGAUGAAGGAUCCUUCAGCCCCAGGGUCUCGUCUCGAUACGAGAAUGAAGCAGAGACGUCUGAUAGUUUUUCAGCGCGGUGGGAAAGUAGAGGUGAGGUCGAAGGCUGGAUGAAGGAGAGCAAGAAACCAGAGCCGGACUUCUACCUGACCUCCACGAUCUCAUCACUGGACGACAGGUCCACAUCCAGAAGAAAACCAGAACCGGUCUCGGACUCGGGGGAAGCUCAGAAAAAGUUUGGAGUUGAUGUGAAAUCCAUCUCUUCAGACAUGUACUUUGGGAAACAAGAUAACUCUGAGUACGAGGCCAAAACCCGACUGGAGAGAUUCUCUGGGAGUUCCUCUAUAAGCUCAGCGGACCUGUUUGAAGAUCAGAAGAAACAGGCUGCGAGUUCCUACCGUCUGACCAACGUGCUGCCCAGCGCUCCUGACAUGUCCCAGCUCAAACUGGGAGUGCGCUCUGUUGCGGGGAAACUCUCCGUCAUGGCCAGUGGUGUCGUGAACUCUAUUCAGGAUCACUACAGUACUUGAGUCGUGCUGCUCCUCCUCUUGGAUUCAGCAGCCUCAUCAUCCUCCUCCUCUGUUUUACAGAGUCUGAGAAGCUUUGCAGUGAGUAUCAAUAAGUGCUGUGGACAAAUCUUCUCUAUAAAAGACCCCCAGAUAUCCCUGUAAACAUCUCUAUCUAGUUUUAUAUUGGAUAAUGUACAUAGAAAAGUUGCUACAAUCAAGAUGGUGGAAGCACAAUAUUUCAUGGGGAGUUAUAUUCCCCCGUCGGCAUCUUGAAGGGACAUUAAUGUGUAUAAUUCAGAAAUGAAGAACAUUCAGUUUGCAGUUUAUUACUUUCUUUGCUUUGUGGUCUUGAGUUAUAAAUGUUUAGCAAUGCUGUAUGUAGCAGGAGCCGUGUCCUUUAGGUGAUGAGUUAAAAAAAAAAAAAGAAUCCUCAGCAGUGUAGCGGAAUAAGUUGUACCUUUUUUUUUUUUUUUUUUUAAAUGGUUACAAUUGUUCAUUACGCACAGCGUGGGGUCCUAUUGUUCUUUUUCUUUUUUUGCACAUCGCUGAAGGUUUGAAAGUGUCCUUUCUGUCCCAAAAGUGCACUUAUGUUUGCUUUUCCACAGACGGGACCAAAAGCUGAUACAGAGGCCUUGGGGGUAGCUUAAUGUUCAUACGUC
Labrus mixtus (cuckoo wrasse) is the source of this 2341-nucleotide RNA transcript. It is a transcript of the gene named ADP-ribosylation factor GTPase activating protein 3, with no coding region annotated. NCBI's taxonomy places the organism in Eukaryota, Metazoa, Chordata, Actinopteri, Labriformes, Labridae. The record is from RefSeq and is a predicted model, not a curated record. The transcript has 17 exons.